UACGUAGGUGGCAAGCGUUAUCCGGAAUUAUUGGGAGUAAAGAGCGCGCAGGUGGUUGAUUAAGUCUGAUGUGAAAGCCCACGGCUUAACCGUGGAGGGUCAUUGGAAACUGGUCGACUUGAGUGCAGAAGAGGGAAGUGGAAUUCCAUGUGUAGCGGUGAAAUGCGUAGAGAUAUGGAGGAACACCAGUGGCGAAGGCGGCUUCCUGGUCUGUAACUGACACUGAGGCGCGAAAGCGUGGGGAGCAAACAGGAUUAGAUACCCG
This 265-nucleotide ribosomal RNA is filed under the name uncultured prokaryote. Its description in RNAcentral is "partial 16S ribosomal RNA". It matches the Rfam family "Bacterial small subunit ribosomal RNA", at positions 524 to 788 of the family's 1533-position model. The record is from RNAcentral.